GGCGACGAUGUCGGUGGGAGUGAGUGCUGGCGAUCUGCUCAGCCCCGUCCAAGCUGCUACUUUGCACACUUUUCUCGAUUUUUCCGAUGGAUUUCAUCAAUACCCAAUGUUGUGUUUCAUAGCUGUAUGGGUGAGAGUUGCAUGUUGCUGGGCGGGGAUUCUUACGCAGGCAGGCUGCAUGGUUGAAACAUGGCGUUGAGGAUCGAGGGCUAAGUUCUAGGAAAGCUGAUGUGGUGGAAGUUUCGGAAGGGUUCGGAUUGUGCUGGGAAUGAUUCAAUGUUAUGGAGGUGCUGCGUUGGCGAGAACCAGAUGUUUACGUCCUCAAGAAUCUAUGGAGAGCAAGACUCGGUGAGGGAAUGAAGCGAACAAUGUAUUUGCUCGUCGUCGCAGGUGCUGCAGGAGUUACAUUGCUUGAGCUACAAUGCAGCGGGGGCCUGGAUGGGAUGAUACGCACAGCAGAGAACCUUGAAUUCAACACAUGGGCUUUCAAAGGCAAGGAAGGGGAACAUGGCCGAUGGGAAUAAGUGUGUUCGCACAUGGAGACCAGGAAGUAUUGGACAUCCUCAGACCCUCUCUCGGAUAUUCCAGAAUGUACGAUGGGGGGAGGAGUGAUCAAAUUGGUUUACGAGCAGGCAGUGAUUUGAAAAAUUCCUCUACGGUAGCGAGAGUGAAGCGGGCGUCGCACUCAUGGAGGUCUCUUCCCUGCUCGGUAGCAUGUAUAUUGGUGGUAUGUGUACUUAGAUUGGUGGCCUCAGUUUUCGUCUCUCAUGCAAUUUCACAUGCCCUUCUAGGUGGGUUCCCCCCUUAGUUUUUGUAGCUUCUUGUGAGACUUUGAUUCAAUAAGCUGCAUUUGAAUUGACAAUUCAAGUCGGCUUUACUAUCGCAUCCUCUCUUAGUUCAUUUUUAUACCUUCCGUCUUCAAUCAGAUGAAGAGAAAGGGUAAAAUUCUUCAAAUUUACUCAUUAUUUUUUAUGCGGAGUAGAAUGCUAGAAUUUUUAGUGUUUCGAUGUGUGUGUAGGUGAUAGAAGUUUUCCUCAAACGAAUGAAACGAGUGGGCAGCGAUCGGGCCCUGGUUUGUGUCGCUCUUUCCAAGAUACCGCAUUCAUGCAUUCUUAAUUUGAUACGAAUCACGUCGAUAUUAUCAAGGCCAUCCUCUUGGUGUGAGGGAUAGGAAUUAUGCUCGGCUACUGUCUUGUUGACAAUGUAGUAUCUUCUAUGUAAAGACAGUGGCACUCUUGGUUGGAUCGACAAUGAUGCAAUACGCAAAAAUGUGGGUAAGAAUCAGGGUUAGAAAAGGCAUGAUGUGCAGAAAAAGUCAGAAAGUGGUAGGUUAUACAGUGGUAGGUUAUAUGAGGUCGGGACGAAGUGGUAGAAAUUGGAGCUCGCUUUGACGACCGGGUGGAUCAGAAUGAGGAAUUACAUCUGGAUAGGUUGCUGACUGAUCUCGAUGAAUAUGGCGAUGACGGAGGUGAUCUAGGAGCUGAGAAAAAACUCGAGGGUAUUGAUAGCAACGAUGAUUCAAUACGGAUUUCGAGACUCAAAAGAGAAGUGGAUACUUUCCAAACUGAUGCUAAGGGCGUCAUGGCUGUGACUGACAGACUUGAAGAGCGAAACAGUCAGAUCACUUCUGAAUUCAAUGCUGCGAAGGGUCACAUUGCAACUACUGAUCACAUCGAAGUGGAUAGACGGGAUGACUCUCAGAAAGCACUUGUGCGUAAGCACCCCAGAGGAAAGAAAAGGCCGCGUAUUGCAUGUUUGUACAUCUUUGCUUGCUAAUGACACUUCAAUAUAUUCACACAUAUAUCAUUUGCCGUGAGUAGGCAUUGCUUUCAAGUACUUCUUCAUUGUGCGAGUCAUUAGACAACUUGGAAAAUUGCUGUCGUAUCUUAGUGUUUCAUAACCUUGUUUUUUCUAAUUGAAGCCAGCUUCCAAUCACUCGAUGUUGUACACUACCGCACACCAUUGGCGAUGGUCUCUGACAUUUGCAGACUGUGUAGCUCUACCUUGCGAGAUUGACUUUCUAAAAAGAACGGAAGAGCUUCAAGAGCAUACGGGAGAUUCAGGUUUUAUAAAUAUUUCUUUAUGUCCAAAGGGAGGAACAUCUUCUGGGAGAUCCAAAUUGGGUGGCAAAGUUCGGAGGUCAUCAAUCCUUUGCGGAGAGGGAGAGAUCUUUUCAUGCUGAAGAUCAGACAUUACAGUGUGAAUUCGUCAGGGCUCCGGAUGGAGAACGGUGGACUGGGUUCGAGCUAAGCAAGAGAGACAAGGAAUAUCUCGAUACUUUGAGGACUUCAAGAGCCACAUUGCAGUCUCUUCUUGCAUCUUCGGCGCUUGGGAUAAUUUGAGGACUCCUACAAACAGGAAAAUAAGUUUUGAUUCGAGGGUGAGGAGGACUACGAGUAUGCUAUUUUCAACCAUUAUUAUCGACAUUGUGCGUGGGAAGAAGUGGCACAGAACAAAAGGUUGAACAAGUUUAACCACAGCCUCAUUGAUGAGCAGUUUCAAUUCUAUCAACGAGAGGAACUUCCACGCUUUAAUGUAUUGAACCCAAAUCGUUACUUACCGAGCCGUAAGGCUUGUAAUCAGAUUGCACUUUAUACGCACUAAAGUUCUUCCUUGUUCCGAUGCAUUGCUGAAAACCAACCACCGCAGCAAUUCCCGUUCUCUAAUACUAGGAAUUUUUCUUUGCUAGGUUCCGACCGGAACAUAUUCCAAACAUUUGCUCCCGUAUAUGAUGUUUUUGUUGGCAUCGUAACCGACACUUACCAACUAGCCCUACUGCAGUGCCUUGACAAAAUAUGCGCAAAUAUUACUGGGAGUUGUAGCAGUGCCUCUCGUUAUUUUUCAUUUUCUCGUCUUUGUUGACAGUUAUGAGGUGUUCUCAACUGUAAGAAAUGUUGCUCAUUUGUCGUUA
Molecule: non-coding RNA, 2911 nt
Organism: Physcomitrium patens
Lineage: Eukaryota; Viridiplantae; Streptophyta; Bryopsida; Funariales; Funariaceae
Source: RefSeq, a predicted model, not a curated record